This 253-nucleotide ribosomal RNA is filed under the name uncultured bacterium. RNAcentral describes it as "partial 16S ribosomal RNA". It matches the Rfam family "Bacterial small subunit ribosomal RNA", at positions 524 to 776 of the family's 1533-position model. The record is from RNAcentral.
UACGUAGGUGGCAAGCGUUAUCCGGAAUUACUGGGCGUAAAGCGCACGCAGGCGGUCUUGUAAGUUUGACGUGAAAGCUCCCGGCUUAACUGGGAGAGGUCGUUGAAGACUGCAAGACUUGAGGAAAUGAGAGGGGUGUAGAAUUCCUGGUGUAGUGGUGGAAUUCGUAGAUAUUAGGAAGAACACCAGUGGCGAAGGCGGCUCACUGGUCCGGUACUGACGCUGAGGUGCGAAAGCGUGGGGAGCAAACAGG